UACGUAGGGAGCAAGCGUUGUUCGGAUUUACUGGGCGUAAAGGGCGCGUAGGCGGCCUGACAGGUCACUUGUGAAAUCUCCGGGCUUAACUCGGAACGGCCAAGUGAUACUGCAAAGCUAGAGUGCAGAAGGGGCAAUCGGAAUUCUUGGUGUAGCGGUGAAAUGCGUAGAUAUCAAGAGGAACACCUGAGGUGAAGACGGGUUGCUGGGCUGACACUGACGCUGAGGCGCGAAAGCCAGGGGAGCAAAC
RNAcentral lists this ribosomal RNA (250 nucleotides) under uncultured bacterium. RNAcentral's name for it is "partial 16S ribosomal RNA". It matches the Rfam family "Bacterial small subunit ribosomal RNA", at positions 524 to 773 of the family's 1533-position model. The record is from RNAcentral.